GAAAAAUAUUUUAGGCGAUCACAUUAGCCUUGGAGUGACGAAUUUCAAUUGUUAAAACCUGGUUCGGAAUGCCGGCCCCUACAAGCAUCAGUUCUAAAAGUAUUCCCGACGAGUCAACAUCUAAAUUUUCAGUCUAAAAACAUCUAAAAACGGUUCCCUUCGGUUUCCAGUGGAAAUAAUUUUAAGCUCAAAUUAACAAACAUGUAUAUGUACGUGAACCCAAAUUACGUUUUGGUGCCUGACUGCUGCGGCGGCGGGUGCUGUGGACCGGCUUGCUCUCCUUGCUGCGGACCAUGCUGUGGACCAUGCUGCGGACCAUGCGGUGGCUGUUAUCCCUGCUGAUGAGCCAGAAACCUGGAAUGCCAGUGGAGGGACCGAUGCUGAAACCUGGAAUUCCAAUGGAGGGACCGAUGCUGAAAUUUAGAUAGAGAUGAUCAUACCAAUAAAAAUUAAAUGUUAGCGACCAA
Molecule: long non-coding RNA, 467 nt
Organism: Drosophila bipectinata
Lineage: Eukaryota; Metazoa; Arthropoda; Insecta; Diptera; Drosophilidae
Source: RefSeq, a predicted model, not a curated record